UUUAAUGUUUGAUGUUCUAACGUGGACCCGUUACCCGGGUUGCGGACAGUGUCUGGUGGGUAGUUUGACUGGGGCGGUCUCCUCCUAAAGAGUAACGGAGGAGCACGAAGGUUGGCUAAUCCUGGUCGGACAUCAGGAGGUUAGUGCAAUGGCAUAAGCCAGCUUGACUGCGAGCGUGACGGCGCGAGCAGGUGCGAAAGCAGGUCAUAGUGAUCCGGUGGUUCUGAAUGGAAGGGCCAUCGCUCAACGGAUAAAAGGUACUCCGGGGAUAACAGGCUGAUACCGCCCAAGAGUUCAUAUCGACGGCGGUGUUUGGCACCUCGAUGUCGGCUCAUCACAUCCUGGGGCUGAAGUAGGUCCCAAGGGUAUGGCUGUUCGCCAUUUAAAGUGGUACGCGAGCUGGGUUUAGAACGUCGUGAGACAGUUCGGUCCCUAUCUGCCGUGGGCGCUGGAGAACUGAGGGGGGCUGCUCCUAGUACGAGAGGACCGGAGUGGACGCAUCACUGGUGUUCGGGUUGUCAUGCCAAUGGCACUGCCCGGUAGCUAAAUGCGGAAGAGAUAAGUGCUGAAAGCAUCUAAGCACGAAACUUGCCCCGA
This 597-nucleotide ribosomal RNA is filed under the name Salmonella enterica. RNAcentral's name for it is "partial 23S ribosomal RNA". It matches the Rfam family "Bacterial large subunit ribosomal RNA", at positions 2206 to 2802 of the family's 2925-position model. RNAcentral also lists the same sequence under 2 other names. The record is from RNAcentral. Lineage: Bacteria; Pseudomonadati; Pseudomonadota; Gammaproteobacteria; Enterobacterales; Enterobacteriaceae.